UAUUCCUUAUCUUAAUUCUUUCUUACUUUGAAGUGUCCAUGGUACUUAAAGAAGGAGGAACAAAUCAGCUAUCGAAGUUGCUUGCAGGCUAGCACCUCCAAGUCCUUGAUCUGUGCCUGUCUUCGCAUGGAUCUUCCUGUAGAGGCCAGAUGACUCCGUGUGGCUGUGAUUGAUUUGAAGAAUAUCCUUUUUAACUUUUAGACUAAAGGAGAUUAAGAUCAAAUUUAUUUGGUAAUGAUCUCUAAUUUAUUUUGAUUCCAAUGGUAGAUCUAAUAGUUAGAUCUAAAAUUUUAGCAUCGAUGAGAUCGAUGUGAAUUUU
RNAcentral lists this long non-coding RNA (319 nucleotides) under Elaeis guineensis (African oil palm). RNAcentral's name for it is "long non-coding RNA (EGUI_LNC053544)". The record is from RNAcentral. Lineage: Eukaryota; Viridiplantae; Streptophyta; Magnoliopsida; Arecales; Arecaceae.